AUAUACAUACAGUCAAGCGACACCCGGCUAGUAACACUGACUAAAAAUAUAACAGCUACUGUUUUUUAAUCAUCCAUUAUUUGUGAAACAAUGUAUGGCUGUUUUCGUUAUACUGCGACUGAUUGAUUGUCGAUAACGAUCGCAUGUCGUUUGGGGCCAGCCAAACAUUGUGUGUUUCUGUUUGAUCGCUCGACAAGCCGUGCCGAUCCUAAACUUGACUGCUUCAAAAGUUGUACUGUUAAUGUAUAACAUUGUGUACCUACCAAUAUUGAACGACAGACACGCGGUGAUAACGAGUGGAAAUAAUAGUCAUGACGAUUGCCCAGCCGAGUCAGAGAUCCAAGUCCGUCACGCGGAAGGUACGAGGUCUCGUGGAUUAAUUGAAUUCGCGUGCAGACUUACCUAUGAGAAACGAAGGCUCCCUUUCGUCUUCAACCAAAGAGGCAAGAAUCAGCAUCAGCGGGUGGUUGUGGGCCACUCGGUCCAGAUCUUCGGUGGAGUCGUCGUAGACCACCACUUCCCGGUAACCGCGUCUCCGCAGGGCUUCCUUGGCAUCCCUUGACGACGCCAACUCCACCAGCGUGGCUUUGCCGCUCUGCAGGCGCCUCCGGUUGAUCCGGUCAGCCACGUUGACGUUGACGGCCCCUCUGAUGUGACCAGUGUUGUAACACACAAACGACCGACAGUCCACGGUCAACACGGCCGGCCCGUGGAGUUCCAGCUUUUGCCUCAGUGUAUCCGCGUCGAUUCUCUUGACCUGGAAAUGAGAUAUUUUUUUAAACAACUACUAGAGAUAUGGCACGACCAACUGAAUGUCCGGAUCUGUAAACACAAUUGUGGCUACGUGUACUCGAAAAAAGGUGCGAAAACCCCCUUUGAACGUGUCCCAUAUAAGGACAGAAUAUAACGUGGGACGCUGAAUAAAGUAAAUAUAAGCCCAGGCGAGGUACGGUUUACUUAGUGAUUACAGACCAUAUUAUACAAGUAGUAAUGGUUGUUUUUUUUAAGCCUAACAAAAUCUGUAUCGUUUUGUGUGCCGACAAUAUUUUCUCUGUCAUAUACAUUUGCGAAAAUUCUGUACUAUGUAUAGAGAUAAUAAUACAGUGAUAGUAGUUCACGACUUCUGUACACAUAAUAUAUUUUUAACUAUU
Molecule: long non-coding RNA, 1151 nt
Organism: Adelges cooleyi (spruce gall adelgid)
Lineage: Eukaryota; Metazoa; Arthropoda; Insecta; Hemiptera; Adelgidae
Exons: 3
Source: RefSeq, a predicted model, not a curated record